This 175-nucleotide long non-coding RNA is filed under the name Sinocyclocheilus grahami. Its description in RNAcentral is "lncRNA (ENSSGRG00000053843.1)". The record is from RNAcentral. Lineage: Eukaryota; Metazoa; Chordata; Actinopteri; Cypriniformes; Cyprinidae.
CUAUAGUGGAAUACUGACGUCAUCAGCCCCGUCUCAGAGAUGAAGUGAAGCUGUAUCGCUUACUCACUAGCUGCUUUCUUUCAGCUCAUAGUAACCCAUGGCUCGCUGGAGGCAAGCAGACACUUCACCUGGCCUCCGAUACCCGGUUGAUCAGUUUCCAUGACGACAGUCAAAG